GAUGAACGCUGGCGGCGUGCCUAAUACAUGCAAGUCGAGCGAACAGACGAGGAGCUUACUCCUCUGGCGUUAGCGGCGGACGGGUGAGUAACACGUGGAUAACCUACCUAUAAGACUGGGAUAACUUCGGGAAACCGGAGCUAAUACCGGAUAACAUGUUGAACCGCAUGGUUCAACAGUGAAAGACGGUCUUGCUGUCACUUAUAGAUGGAUCCGCGUCGCAUUAGCUAGUUGGUAAGGUAACGGCUUACCAAGGCAACGAUGCGUAGCCGACCUGAGAGGGUGAUCGGCCACACUGGAACUGAGACACGGUCCAGACUCCUACGGGAGGCAGCAGUAGGGAAUCUUCCGCAAUGGGCGAAAGCCUGACGGAGCAACGCCGCGUGGGUGAAGAAGGUCUUCGGAUCGUAAAACUCUGUUAUUAGGGAAGAACAAAUGUGUAAGUAACUAUGCACGUCUUGACGGUACCUAAUCAGAAAGCCACGGCUAACUACGUG
This 497-nucleotide ribosomal RNA is filed under the name uncultured bacterium. RNAcentral's name for it is "partial 16S ribosomal RNA". It matches the Rfam family "Bacterial small subunit ribosomal RNA", at positions 28 to 507 of the family's 1533-position model. The record is from RNAcentral.